GUGGAGCCAACCUUGAGAUACCACCCUAGCAUGAUUUGAGUUCUAACCUAGGUCCGUUAUCCGGAUCAGGGACAUUGUAUGGUGGGUAGUUUGACUGGGGCGGUCUCCUCCUAAAGAGUAACGGAGGAGCACAAAGGUUCCCUCAGCGCGGUCGGCCAUCGCGUUUAGAGUGCAAAGGCAUAAGGGAGCUUGACUGCGAGACAGACAUGUCGAGCAGGAGCGAAAGCUGGUCUUAGUGAUCCGGUGGUUCUGUAUGGAAGGGCCAUCGCUCAACGGAUAAAAGGUACGCCGGGGAUAACAGGCUAAUUCCCCCCAAGAGUUCACAUCGACGGGGGAGUUUGGCACCUCGAUGUCGGCUCAUCACAUCCUGGGGCUGUAGCAGGUCCCAAGGGUAUGGCUGUUCGCCAUUUAAAGUGGUACGCGAGCUGGGUUUAGAACGUCGUGAGACAGUUCGGUCCCUAUCUGGUGCGUUCGUUGGAAACUUGAAGGGAGCUGCUCCUAGUACGAGAGGACCGGAGUGGACGUACCCCUGGUGUUCCGGUUGUCACGCCAGUGGCACCGCCGGGUAGCUAUGUACGGAAGGGAUAACCGCUGAAAGCAUCUAAGCGGGAAGCCCACCCUAAGAUAAGGUUUCCCUGGAUCCUUGAGAUCCCUGAAGGGCCAUCGAAGACUACGAUGUUGAUAGGUCGGGUGUGGAAGCUCAGUAAUGAGUGUAGCUAACCGAUACUAAUUACCCGUGAGACUUG
This 746-nucleotide ribosomal RNA is filed under the name uncultured gamma proteobacterium HF0500_05P21. RNAcentral's name for it is "bacterial LSU rRNA". It matches the Rfam family "Bacterial large subunit ribosomal RNA", at positions 2180 to 2925 of the family's 2925-position model. The record is from RNAcentral. Lineage: Bacteria; Pseudomonadati; Pseudomonadota; Gammaproteobacteria.